RNAcentral lists this transfer RNA (69 nucleotides) under Rattus norvegicus (Norway rat). It matches the Rfam family "tRNA". From Rfam's summary of the family: Transfer RNA (tRNA) molecules are approximately 80 nucleotides in length. Their secondary structure includes four short double-helical elements and three loops (D, anti-codon, and T loops). Lineage: Eukaryota; Metazoa; Chordata; Mammalia; Rodentia; Muridae. The record is from Rfam by way of RNAcentral. RNAcentral also lists the same sequence under 1 other name.
GGGGAUUUAGCUCAGUGGUAGAGCGCUUGCCUAGCAAGCACAAGGCUCUGGGUUCGGUCCCUAGCUCCG